GUGCCAGCAGCCGCGGUAAUACGUAGGGUGCGAGCGUUGUCCGGAAUUACUGGGCGUAAAGAGCUCGUAGGCGGUUUGUCACGUCGUCUGUGAAAUCCUAGGGCUUAACCCUGGACGUGCAGGCGAUACGGGCUGACUUGAGUACUACAGGGGAGACUGGAAUUUCUGGUGUAGCGGUGGAAUGCACAGAUAUCAGGAAGAACACCGAUGGCGAAGGCAGGUCUCUGGGUAGUAACUGACGCUGAGGAGCGAAAGCAUGGGUAGCGAACAGGAUUAGAUACCCUG
This 285-nucleotide ribosomal RNA is filed under the name Lactiplantibacillus plantarum. RNAcentral describes it as "partial 16S ribosomal RNA". It matches the Rfam family "Bacterial small subunit ribosomal RNA", at positions 505 to 789 of the family's 1533-position model. Lineage: Bacteria; Bacillati; Bacillota; Bacilli; Lactobacillales; Lactobacillaceae. The record is from RNAcentral.